AUGCCUAGAUCCCGUGUAAAUGGAAAUUUCAUUGAUAAGACCUCCUCAAUUGUAGCCAAUAUUUUAUUGCGAAUAAUUCCGACAACCUCAGGAGAAAAAAAGGCACUUACUUAUUAUAGAGAUGGGAUGUUGGCUCAAUCCGAAGGAAAUUAUGCGGAAGAUUUGCAAAAUUAUUAUGAAGCUACGCGACUAGAAAUCGAUCCCUAUGAUUGAAGUUUUAUACUCUAUAACAUAGGCCUUAUACACACAAGCAAUGGAGAGCAUACAAAGGCUUUGGAAUAUUAUUUCCGGGCACUAGAACGAAACCCCUUCUUACCGCAAGCUUUUAAUAAUAUGGCCGUGAUCUGUCAUUACGUGCGACUAUCUCCACUAUAG
Molecule: ribosomal RNA, 375 nt
Filed under: Triticum aestivum (bread wheat)
Lineage: Eukaryota; Viridiplantae; Streptophyta; Magnoliopsida; Poales; Poaceae
Description: partial small subunit ribosomal RNA
Source: RNAcentral